CGCUGUGCACGCCCGUCGAGGCGGUGCAUACGGCCUCAAUGCGGCUGCGGGCUGGCAGGCCGUUGCCACAUGGAAUUUUUGGACUGUCAGAUUUUCGGAGCCCCACGCGAUGUCGGGACCAGCUCCGCACAACUCCAUACGGCUCCGGCGAUCGAAGUGGGACCGGCCCCGCGAGGCCGUACGGCUCAAGCGACCACGUUAGUUCCCGAUUGCCGCUUGCAGUCGCAUGCUUGUGGACUGGCCCUUUAAAGAUAGCGAAGUCAGGGAAUAUGGUGAGAAGGCAGGAACAGGAUACUGAUUGUGGAAGAUCAGCCAUGAUCAUGUUGAAUGGUGGUGCUGCCUCGAAGGGCCGAAUGGCCUACUCCUGCGUCUGUUGUCUAGUAUCUAUUGGAGUCACAUAUGAUCUAAACCAGGUAAGAUCGCCUCUAAAGAGCUACUGGUGAAUCAGAUUGUUUAAUGACAAACUGAACGAUUAGUGGUCAUCAUUACAAAGAUUAGCUUUUUAUGUUUUAAACUGAAUUAGCAGAAUUCAAUUUCUACAUCCACUUCAGAGUUUACCAGUGGCUUUAAACUAGUUGGGAUGUGAAGUAAGGAGGAUAUGGAGAGGCUUCAAGGUGAUUUAGACAGAUUGAGCAAGUUGGUAACAUCAUGGCAAAUGCUGUAUAACAUGAAUGCAGGUGAGCGUUCAUUUGAGAAGUUUCGAUAUCCAAAUAAGAAUUCUGGUGUUCUUGUACACCAGUGAACUAAAGCAAAAUCCUGGUUGCAGGAAGCCAUACCUGGGCUGGGUAGAUCAAGAAGGCACAGUCUGAGGUUAUAGGGGUGAGCUGAGGAGAAACAAAUCUGAUCGGGGGUGGUGAACCUGUGGCAUUCACUAUCACAGAGGGUUUUUUUAUGAAAUAUACCCAAGUAGUUUAGCUAGAGAAGAUAGACAAGCUUCUGGAUUCUGUAAGUGGCAUCAAAGGGAAUGAGGAGAAAGCAGGAAUGGGUAUUGAAGUGGAUGGUCAGCUAUGACCAUUUUAGUGUGAGGUCAUAACAUGCUUUUCUCCCCAAUAGGAAGAAGAGAAUGUUUUGGUUUUGCCUGCAUGUGCAAUGGAAGACAGCAUCCGGAUUGUUUCAUUUUGAGAAAUGACCAGUAACCCUACAGGCUUUCAGCCACAGCAUAGUUUGCAGCUUCCAUUCCUCCAAGUCUUAAAGUUGUGGGUUCAACCCUGGCUCUAGAAACAAGUACCAACAGUUCCAUACUGACAUUCCAGGCAUAGGUGUGGAGUACUGCAUUAUUAAUGGUGCCUUCUAUCAGAUGACCCAUUAAACAACUACAGUUCCCAACUACACUCUCAAAGGUGCUUGAAUACCUCUUGAGGUAAUGUUAAAGUGUGGCAGAUGCUGCCUGGCCAGCAGAAUAGUACGUCACCAUUCCAGAUUUCCAGCAGGCACAGUAUUUUUCAUUUGUUUUCUGAGGGAGAAGAUGUCGCCAUUCACGUCAGCCUAACGGAUACAAGUCAGUGAGACUUCC
Long non-coding RNA from Leucoraja erinaceus (little skate), 1513 nucleotides. RefSeq lists it as uncharacterized. The transcript has 3 exons. NCBI's taxonomy places the organism in Eukaryota, Metazoa, Chordata, Chondrichthyes, Rajiformes, Rajidae. The record is from RefSeq and is a predicted model, not a curated record.